Molecule: ribosomal RNA, 497 nt
Filed under: uncultured bacterium
Lineage: Bacteria
Description: partial 16S ribosomal RNA
Rfam family: Bacterial small subunit ribosomal RNA
Source: RNAcentral
GAUGAACGCUGGCGGCGUGCCUAAUACAUGCAAGUCGAGCGAACAGACGAGGAGCUUGCUCCUCUGACGUUAGCGGCGGACGGGUGAGUAACACGUGGAUAACCUACCUAUAAGACUGGGAUAACUUCGGGAAACCGGAGCUAAUACCGGAUAAUCUAUUGAACCGCAUGGUUCAAUAGUGAAAGACGGUUUUGCUGUCACUUAUAGAUGGAUCCGCGCCGCAUUAGCUAGUUGGUAAGGUAACGGCUUACCAAGGCGACGAUGCGUAGCCGACCUGAGAGGGUGAUCGGCCACACUGGAACUGAGACACGGUCCAGACUCCUACGGGAGGCAGCAGUAGGGAAUCUUCCGCAAUGGGCGAAAGCCUGACGGAGCAACGCCGCGUGAGUGAUGAAGGUCUUCGGAUCGUAAAACUCUGUUAUUAGGGAAGAACAAAUGUGUAAGUAACUAUGCACGUCUUGACGGUACCUAAUCAGAAAGCCACGGCUAACUACGUG